UACGUAGGUGGCAAGCGUUGUCCGGAAUUAUUGGGCGUAAAGCGCGCGCAGGUGGUUCCUUAAGUCUGAUGUGAAAGCCCCCGGCUCAACCGGGGAGGGUCAUUGGAAACUGGGGAACUUGAGUGCAGAAGAGGAAAGUGGAAUUCCAUGUGUAGCGGUGAAAUGCGUAGAGAUAUGGAGGAACACCAGUGGCGAAGGCGACUUUCUGGUCUGUAACUGACACUGAGGCGCGAAAGCGUGGGGAGCAAACAGG
RNAcentral lists this ribosomal RNA (253 nucleotides) under uncultured microorganism. Its description in RNAcentral is "partial 16S ribosomal RNA". It matches the Rfam family "Bacterial small subunit ribosomal RNA", at positions 524 to 776 of the family's 1533-position model. The record is from RNAcentral.